This is a long non-coding RNA of Bos taurus (domestic cattle), 2400 nucleotides long. Lineage: Eukaryota; Metazoa; Chordata; Mammalia; Artiodactyla; Bovidae. The record is from Ensembl.
UUUAAAUUUUUUAUUUAUUUAUUUUUGGCUGUGCUGGGUCUUCUAUGCUGCAUGGGCUUUUCUCAAGUUGUGCUGAAUGGGGGCUACUCUCCAGGUACAGUGCUUCAGCUUCUCAUUGCAGUGGCUUCUCUUGUGGAGCACAGGCUCCAGGGCGUGCGGGCUUCAGUAGUUGGCAGCACGUGGGCUCCGUAUAUGUGGCACACAGACUUAGUUGCUUCUCAGCCUGUGUGAUCUUCCCCAACUAGGGAUCGAACCUGUGUCUCCAGGACUGGCAGACAGAUUCUUUAGCACUGAGCCACCCGGAAAGCCCUACAUAAGAUUUUAAUUCUGUUUUAGACAAACACCUCUGUAUGCAUCUUUUUCCCAGGCUGCCGGCUGCAUCCCAGCCUGUGAUCUGGAGAAUGUUCCAAGGGUUUCUUCUUCGAAGCCGCUUCAAUGCCUUUCCCCUCAAAGGGUUAGCCAGAUAGAGGUGAGCUGACCCUUGUCCCUGCAGGCCAGCAAGUGGGGGCUCCCCAUCACCCUCCCCAGUGCCUCUGUCCCUGGGGAAGAAGCCUGGCAUAGCGUCCCUUGGCUGGUGGGACUCUUUCUGAGGACAACAGAUGUUUUGCUCAGCCUUCUCUCUCCUCUCUGAAAAGUGCUGGCAGCCCCCUGCCCUGCCGCCAGCAAGCAAGGUGCUAACAGGGGUCAGUGAUGGGAGAGGCAGUGUAUGGCUCAAAGCCAGACCGACCCUCCUGCUGAGAACACAGAACCCCUGGGCCAGGAGCGGUGUCAGCAGGUCCUGAUCUUCCAGUGCCUGUGUGUGGUUCUUGGGAGCCUCUGUGCAGAAACUCGGAACGUAUCAACUGGAAAACAGCCUGAAGGAAUUCAUGCUCUAACAGGGAAACCAAACACAUCCGUGUGCUCUUUGGAAGAAUGGCAGGAUCACAACGAUGAUGACAAAAGAUGCAUUAAGAGGAAGCAGGGAGAAAGGAACAGGUUAGACUGGCGUAGAGGUGAGCUUAAUGAAAGAAGGGGAAGACGUGGCUUCAAACUCAUGCUGGAGAAGGGGAAGGGAGAGGGAGCCAGUGGGGAGGAGGACACUGUCUCCUGGGUAGGGAGGGGCGCAGCCUCGUGGAGCGGGACUGCAAGGGUCCAAAGAGGAGGGAGAAGCCUCUGGAGAAGCCUGGAAGAUUCAGGUCCUCCCUCCACGAGGACAGCAGAGAGGGGACCACCAGGGAGUCUAUGUGGACACAGAGCAGCAGCCCCCCACAAACUUUAGACAAACAGGCAUUCAGUGUAUAGAAAUCCUGAGAAACAGGCAUGGGGUGUGUGUGUGUGUGUGUGUGUGUGUGUGUGUCACAUUUCAGCUGUCUAAUCCCAGUACUUCCUGCUCUUCAAAUACUGGAUGGGGUAAGAUUUCUGUCGCAGCUACAGAAAAUCGCCAGGGGCUCAGGCAAUCAUCCAGCAGGUGACCCAGGCAGGAGCUCUUGGGGUGAGUCCCCAGGACAGCCUUUAACCCGGUCCUGUUAGGUCCCUGGUCAUUUUCUGCUGAGUGGACAAUAUGCAAGCAGGCUGACAGAGCACAGCUUCCUGAGGAAAGAGCUUCCUGCCCUGCAGUCCAGUUCCAGCCCUGGCCCUUCUCAGGCCGUGGGGCAAGGCUGGGUGAUGAAGUUGAAAGGUGUUGAGAAGUGCAGGGGAAUCUAUACACAGCUCAAAGGGCAGAUCACUGAGGUCCGCAGGCCCCCUUCUCUAAGAUGGCUCUAGGACUGAUCAAUCUCUGAGACUGACUGGAAACCAGCCCAGUGAAGGUUGGUUUCUGAUAGAUCUGCCUGGGCUAAUGUGAGGGCUCGAAGCUCACAGCAUGACCCAUUGGGAGAUUGUGUGAGUCAAGCUGGGUGAGACCUUUGCAGACCAUGGAGAAGUCAUUCAGGGGGUGCCAUGCCCCAGAACAUGAAUGUAGAGCUCGGCAAGCAGGCCUGGGCACCCUGGGAGGCUGGGACCUGCCCUGGGAGUCCAGGUGGUGGGAGUGGAGGCAGGGAGGCCACCUUGCAAUCUGGUUGAAGCUGUGUGCAGGGAGCAGACUGCUGCUGGAAGCAACUUCCCCACCACCACCCCAAGAAGGCCCAGGUGGUUUGCAAGUGGGGACAGAGGGCAGGCCAGUCAUGGAGACCUUCGGCAAGGACAAAGGCCACCAGGCUUAGUUCUCGGCAUGGCUCCCCGCCAGCUGCACGACCAGGGUUAGAUGAUCAACUUCACUCCAAUGAGUAAGCUUCCUGUAAAACUGGGAAAAACAGUCCACAUUGCAGCCCAAGGGGCAGCAUCAGCUAUAGUGCUUGUAAGAGACUCCUCCAUCCUCACAGGGAUGCAGGAAUCUCACGUGGUCACCUUCCCUCCGUGGUCAGUUUGCCUCCGCCCUCUUCC